CGAACCCGGCCCCUCACAAAUUUUGAUCCGGCCUGCAUGUUAAUUUAGGUCCACAAUAACUUUUGGCAAUCCAACCUAAAAAGACGGGAAACGGUUUUCAAACUGCAAUUACUCGACACUCAAUGCAGAGUUUUGACAGAUUUGCCCACCUUUGAGACUCAGAAAUUCCUACAGAACCAGAGAGUUUUCAUAUUUCG
This is a long non-coding RNA of Etheostoma cragini (Arkansas darter), 197 nucleotides long. RefSeq lists it as uncharacterized. The transcript has 3 exons. Lineage: Eukaryota; Metazoa; Chordata; Actinopteri; Perciformes; Percidae. The record is from RefSeq and is a predicted model, not a curated record.